Molecule: ribosomal RNA, 496 nt
Filed under: uncultured bacterium
Lineage: Bacteria
Description: partial 16S ribosomal RNA
Rfam family: Bacterial small subunit ribosomal RNA
Source: RNAcentral
GAUGAACGCUGGCGGCGUGCCUAAUACAUGCAAGUCGAGCGAACAGACGAGGAGCUUGCUCCUCUGACGUUAGCGGCGGACGGGUGAGUAACACGUGGAUAACCUACCUAUAAGACUGGGAUAACUUCGGGAAACCGGAGCUAAUACCGGAUAAUAUAUUGAACCGCAUGGUUCAAUAGUGAAAGACGGUUUUGCUGUCACUUAUAGAUGGAUCCGCGCCGCAUUAGCUAGUUGGUAAGGUAACGGCUUACCAAGGCGACGAUGCGUAGCCGACCUGAGAGGGUGAUCGGCCACACUGGAACUGAGACACGGUCCAGACUCCUACGGGAGGCAGCAGGAGGGAAUCUUCCGCAAUGGGCGAAAGCCUGACGGAGCAACGCCGCGUGAGUGAUGAAGGUCUUCGGAUCGUAAAACGCUGUUAUUAGGGAAGAACAAAUGUGUAAGUAACGAUGCACGUCUUGACGUACCUAAUCAGAAAGCCACGGCUAACUACGUG